UUUUAAAAAUUUUGACUAUAAUCAUGUGCCUAAAUUUAUAAGUUAGUUACUGAAACUUUGUUGCAAAUAGUGGAAGACCUGAUACUUUUAAAAAACAUUUUUUCAAAAGAUUAAAUGGAGCCACACGGAAACCAAGUUCUCUUUGUCUGUUUGGUUGCUCUGGUAUAUAUGAACCAUGCAGAACCUCGCUAUCGUCGGCACACUUUCCGAACCCUGCAUCCAACUCAACGUAUGUUUUUGAUUGCUAGGUUUCUUUGUAUACUUGUGAACGCUAUUGGCUACGUUCAAAUAUUCAAGAGUUUGAAUGAAUGAACUGACUGCACCAGUUGAUCUUCAACAGUUUUGGGUAAUUGUCAAGUAACCAUUAAGCUCUGGAAGUGCUGUGUAUUUGCUGCUGAAAAUGCACUACGUAAACUAAAGAACCGCAAAAUUAUCAGCAGACUCAACAGAUGUCUGCGGUAUGGUGAAAAUAGGGUCUGACAUUUGCUAUCAAAAGAAAAAUUUUUCAUGAUUUUUAUCCAAAUUAUUUAGUGAUAAAUAAACACUAAUCAGAUACGAGGCACAAUUUA
Teleopsis dalmanni is the source of this 569-nucleotide long non-coding RNA. RefSeq lists it as uncharacterized. The record is from RefSeq and is a predicted model, not a curated record. Lineage: Eukaryota; Metazoa; Arthropoda; Insecta; Diptera; Diopsidae. The transcript has 2 exons.